UGAGGAAUAUUGGGCAAUGGACGCAAGUCUGACCCAGCCAUGACGCGUGAAGGAUGCAGGACCUAUGGGUUGUAAACUUCUUUUAUACGGGAAAAAACCACCGGUCGUGUGUCGGUGAUGAUGGUACCGUAAGAAUAGGCAUCGGCUAACUCCGUGCCAGCAGCCGCGGUAAUACGGAGGAUGCAAGCGUUAUCCGGAUUCAUUGGGUUUAAAGGGUGCGCAGGCGGAUUAAUAAGUCAGUGGUGAAAUCCUACGGCUCAACUGUAGAACUGCCAUUGAUACUGUUAGUCUUGAGUAUUGUUGAGGUAGGCGGAAUGUGUCAUGUAGCGGUGAAAUGCUUAGAUAUGACACAGAACACCAAUCGCGAAGGCAGCUUACCAAGCAAUAACUGACGCUCAUGCACGAAAGCGUGGGGAUCAAACAGGAGUAGAUACCCUGGUCUUU
Molecule: ribosomal RNA, 444 nt
Filed under: uncultured prokaryote
Description: bacterial SSU rRNA
Rfam family: Bacterial small subunit ribosomal RNA
Source: RNAcentral